GGACUACUCGGGUAUCUAAUCCUGUUUGCUCCCCACGCUUUCGCACCUCAGUGUCAGUAUCAGUCCAGGUGGUCGCCUUCGCCACUGAUGUUCCUUCCUAUAUCUACGCAUUUCACCGCUACACAGGAAAUUCCACCACCCUCUACCGUACUCUAGCUCAGCAGUUUUAGAAGCAAUUCCCAGGUUAAGCCCGGGGCUUUCACUCCUAACUUACUGAACCACCUACGCGCGCUUUACGCCCAGUAAUUCCGAUUAACGCUUGCACCCUUCGUAUUACCGCGGCUGCUGGCAC
This 292-nucleotide ribosomal RNA is filed under the name uncultured bacterium. RNAcentral describes it as "partial 16S ribosomal RNA". The record is from RNAcentral. RNAcentral also lists the same sequence under 1 other name.